AAUUAAUAUAAAGUCAAUCCUAUAAAAAGAUUGAUGUCUAUCAGAGAAAAAAGUAAAAUCCUUCUCUUCCGUAUUACAUUCACGCCAAACAUCUCUUUAAUUCCAAAUCUUCCCUCGUAUCAAAGAAAGUCUUUGGCAAUUUUGCACGACUUGAAAUAUGCUGUAAACCUUUUUUAUCUUUCUGUGUAUCCAACACUCCAUUCCAAUCAUCCAUUAAUAUAUAUGAUUUAUAAUCCCAUUGUACUAUUUUAUUAUGUAAAAUUUUUUAAAAAAAUUCUUGUUGAUUAGGAGCAUAAACUCCAAUUAAAAGUGUCUUUUUCCCUUCCAAUAACAGUUCAAUUGCAGUAUAUCUUCCUUGUUUAUCUGUCUCGAUUAACUUCGCUAUUAAGUCCUUCUUUACAUAAACAACAAUGCCAUUCUUUUUCUCUGAAGCCGAAGCAACGAAAUGUGUACCCAACCUUGAGUUAAUCAAAUAUUUUUGGUCCAAAGAUCUAAUAUGUGUUUUUUGUAAACAAACUAUAUCAUUUUUAAAUUGUUUCAAAUAAUGAAAUAUCUUCCUCCUUUUCUGUGGUGAAUUUAAACAAUUAGCAUUCCAGGAUAAAAAGCUAGUUGCCAUUUUUGGCAGUCGGAAGCUGGAAUGCCCAAUGUAGCUCCGCUUUUUCUUUGGGUCUUGCUCCUCCCACAGCUUCUGUUUUAGUAGCCUCUGCCACUUGAAUUUGUUGGAGCUUAACUUCCUGUUCCUUGCGUUUAGUAGCUGCUCUCAUCAUCCUUUGUUCUUUUACUCCUUCUUUUGGUACUUCUCCCCCUUUAGAUAUAUCCAACACUUGUAAAGAAUCUUCCUCCAUAGCUAUAACUGCCGCUUGGUCUUGUGCCUGCUUCAUUGCUUCCCUUUUUCUUAUUUCUUCAACAUCCCUUCUUCUAGGUUCUGGUGAUGAUGGGCUUCCAGCUUUCAAUACAUUAACAUAAAAAUCUCUUGCUUUCCAAAUUGUAUUAAGACGAUGUGGUUUCCCUGCAUAAUACACAAUUAUCCCCACUGGGAUAUCCCAUCUAUAUUCAGUCUGCCUUUUUUUGAGCUCCUCCACCAGAAAUGCAUAUUCUUUUCUGCUUCUCAACAUUUUAGGGGGAAUUUCUUUCAAAAUUAAAAUUUCUUGUCCAGCUACCUGAACUUCCCCCCUUUAUAAGAUCCUUGCAGAAUUGCAUUUCUCAUUCUUCGAGUUGUAAAGUAAAUAACCACAUCUCUUGGCAACUGCUUUUGUCUGGCAAUCCAAGAAUUCACACGGUAAAUUUUGUCAAUAUGGUAUGCCACUUCAUCUGGUUGCACUCCUAUUAUCUCUGCAAAUGCUUCAGAAAAAAUUCUUUCAAAUAUCCCUUCUUAUUUUCCUGUAAGCCUCUAAUUCUUAAAGCAAAUUCCAUGCCCUAUAUUGGACCAAUACAAUUUCAUCAUCUGUUUUUUCCACUUUAGCCUGAACCUCUUCCAUCUUAUUUUCCAGUUUUAAAUUAGAUUGCUUUAUUUCCUCUACAUUUUCUUCUAACAGAUUCAAAUUGAUUGCCAAGCCUUGAACUGCUAGUACAAGACUAUCUCUAAUCUCUUUAUUCCCUUCUUGAAUUUCUAACAUCUGUUCUGUCAUCUAUUUCAGUUUCUCUUCAAUAAGAGAAGUUUGUAAAUUUAUAGAGUCCUUUACGAAAUCUUUCAGGUUCUCCUGUAGUACUUCUAAAUUUAAUGCUUUUGUAUCAGCAGUAUGGGCUGGAGAAACUCCUGCACUCCUAGAGGUUGUUAAUUUUGUUUAUUUGGCUGCCAUCUUUUAAACUUUCGUUUCACUUUAAUCCAAAUUGACAAAAGAUCUUUUGUAUUUUCAAAGAAUACAGUCUUAAAGUCUCUUCCUUUUAUCCUUUUAUAGUUUAAUGACUUCUAACAGCCUCUGGCAGCACUCUACCCAGCGCGAAAGGAAUUUUCACACUUUCGUUUCCCAGUUAUUAAGUCUUUAAGUUAAUGGCGCCUUUAUCGGUUUUGCCUUCAAGUUGCAACAAAACCACAGGGAGUUAAGAAAAUUGUUACUUGCAUUUCCAGACCUCCUGCUUCCGUUCUGUUCUGUAUAAAAUAAGUUUAUAAUCCAAUAUAGGUCCCGGAGCUUGGUCGUGAUGAUUAUUUCUGCAAAUGCAGCAGAGCCCUGGAUUCAGAGUGCUUUGGGCUAAUAGGGAGCUUAACCAUUCAAACCCCCGAAAUCAUUUCAGGGGUUUUAGGAAAGCUCUACCUUCACCCAUCUGCUCACCUUCCCCUCUUCUCCCGAGGGGGAGAUUUUCCGAAUCGCUAGGCUGCUGAUUUACGCUGCCUUAGCGAUUCUAACGUAAUCCAAAGGCUGGCGGUCUAAAACACCGUCGCCAUCACCAACAGAGCCAAACGGCAUCUCCAUCUCACCACAUUUUUUUAUGGGAGACACACUCAUUGUCUGACUCUUCCUAUAGUCCAGUAUGGUUUAACCUCUGGCAAAGCUUUAAUUUCCUUAGAGCACACAAGCCCCAUCAAGGUCACUGAGGAUAUUAUUAUCUCUUUUAUUCAUUAAGCAUGAAACUCAGUCAACUGAUCAUUUAAAAAUAUUCCAAAAUACCAUUAACUGAUGCUAAUGGUUGAUAUGGGUUUCUGUCAGUAUCCUAGAUAUCAACCAUCUUCUUAAAAUAUAUGAUGUUCCGAAUAGCACAGUUUUUUGCAGUUCCACUGGAAGCUGCAAUUUCUUGAUGUGUUUUAUAAAAUUCUUGGACAUGGUACCAAGUGCCCCGAUGACAAUGGGUAUCACUGUUACAUGUUUCAUCCAUAGCCGUGUAGUUUCGAUGGCCAGGUCGCGAUAUUUCAUGAUUUUUUCCAAUUCUUUUUCUUCAACUCUGGUGUCUCCUGGUACAGCAAUAUCAAUAAACUGUACAUUUUGGCCCUCGACAACUGCGCUAUCUGGCAUGUUGUGUUCCAAAUGACGAUCUGUCUGUAUUCGAAAGUCCCACAAGAUCUUCACCGUCUCAUUUUUGGUAACUUUUUCUACUUUGUGCUCCCAUGACUUUUUGGAUACAGCUUGUGACUGACCAAAAAUGGCUGUCGUCCCUGCUGCUGUUCAGGAGAGCUUUCUUUGGAUCAACAAGGAAAUUGCGAUUUCCUCGCAAUCAACAAAGCGCCUCUCCUUUCUUCACCACCCCUCCAGGGCAGCUUAACCCCAUAGGGUCUCCCAGGAAGCAGUUGCCUGCUGCAUUUCACAGACCCCAGCAGAGCUCCACUAUUUUCCAAUCAUUUGGGGUGCAACAUCAACUGGAAGUCGCAGUAUUCUUGUUAAAAGUUUGAACAUUGUUGGUGAUGGAGGAUGGUUAAGUGUUUUAACCAGUAUCCAUAAAGUUUGUCCAGGCCAGGUGCACUCCAGUUCUUGACUUUUUUUAUUUGUUUUGCAACCAUACCAGUUGUUAUUACAGUAUUCUCCAUUUUGUUUCGUGUUGCUUGUUUUUGAGUAUCUUUGAUCCAGGAGGCAGUUUUGUUAUAUUCCACUGGGUUUUCCCACAGUUCUUUCCAAAAGGUCAACGUUUUUUCUUUACAUGAGUGAACAUUAGUUUAGAUUCCAUUUUCAUCAAGUGACCAGUAGAAGAGGUGUUGGUUUCUUGUGAACAGGACAUUUUCAUGAUACUGAGUUUUUUUUAUGUAAGUUUUUUAUUUUAUUUUACAUAUACUUUAUUUUACAUAUAAUGCGUGAACAGUGUGGCACCUUGGUGUCAUACAUUCUAAUACAAAUAAAACUAGAAGAAUUCAUAGUUAUUACAUUCAACCAACUUAUAUAUUUCUAAUAAUAAUACACAUUUAUAUUAAGCUAUAGUUUAUCAUUAUUUAAUUAUUCCAUGUUUUUAUAUAUUGAUCUAAUGCCACUCACCAUAUUAUUUGAUGAUACCAUAAUACUGCCAUUCAAUUUCUAAGCUUCCUUGUUGUUAUUGCUUUUAUUUUAUUAUGUAAAAAUGUAUACACUAAUAUUCCCCCUUUCUCAUAUUUCUAUCUUUUUUUUUUUAAUUUUAUUUUUAUUACGGUUUUCUUUUUUCAUAACAAUCAUACAUAUUCAACAGAACUGUGACAUUAUUGUAUAUUUCGGAUCUACCUUCCAUAUAAUUUCUAUAUACAUUAUAUACAUAUAAUCAUCAAUGGCCUUAUAUAUAUUUUGUUUUCUAUUUCUAUUGGUUGUCCAUGUGUACCAAUAUUCCCAGACCGCAUAGUAUUCUGAAUCUUCUUUUUCUUGUAAUUCUAUCCAUAGGCUUGUAAGCCUAUCCAUUUCUGCGCAAUCAUAUACUUUUUGGAUAAUCAGACUCUCUGGUGUAUGUUACUGAGUUUCCAAUGUUGUGCGAACGCAAUCCUUGCUGCUGUUAGAAUGUGCAAAAUCAAAUAUCUUGUUUUUUUAAAUCAAGUUUUGUCUUAAACAU
Ahaetulla prasina is the source of this 4434-nucleotide long non-coding RNA. RefSeq lists it as uncharacterized. The record is from RefSeq and is a predicted model, not a curated record. The transcript has 2 exons. NCBI's taxonomy places the organism in Eukaryota, Metazoa, Chordata, Lepidosauria, Squamata, Colubridae.